GCCUCCUUAGCUCAGUGGUAGAGCACUUGUCUUGUAAACAAGCGGUCGUCGGUUCAAAUCCGACAGGGGGCU
This 72-nucleotide transfer RNA is filed under the name Trueperella sp. RNAcentral describes it as "tRNA-Thr". It matches the Rfam family "tRNA". From Rfam's summary of the family: Transfer RNA (tRNA) molecules are approximately 80 nucleotides in length. Their secondary structure includes four short double-helical elements and three loops (D, anti-codon, and T loops). Lineage: Bacteria; Bacillati; Actinomycetota; Actinomycetes; Actinomycetales; Actinomycetaceae. The record is from RNAcentral.